AACCUCCGCAAUGUGAGAAAUCGCGACGGGGGGAUCCCAAGUGCCAUUCUUAACGGGAUGGCUUUUCUUAAGUGUAAAAAGCUUUUGGAAUAAGAGCUGGGCAAGACCGGUGCCAGCCGCCGCGGUAACACCGGCAGCUCUAGUGGUAGCUGUUUUUAUUGGGCCUAAAGCGUUCGUAGCCGGUUUGAUAAGUCACUGGUGAAAUCCUGUAGCUUAACUGUGGGAAUUGCUGGAGAUACUAUUAGACUUGAGACCGGGAGAGGUUAGAGGUACUCCCAGGGUAGAGGUGAAAUUCUGUAAUCCUGGGAGGACCGCCUGUUGCGAAGGCGUCUAACUGGAACGGUUCUGACGGUGAGGGACGAAAGUUAGGGGCGCGAACCGGAUUAGAUACCCGGGUAGUCCUAACUGUAAACGAUGCGGACUUGGUGUUGGGGUGGCUUUGAGCUGUUCCAGUGCCGAAGGAAGCUGUUAAGUCCGCCGCCUGGGAAGUACGGUCGCAAGACUGAAACUUAAAGGAAUU
RNAcentral lists this ribosomal RNA (520 nucleotides) under uncultured bacterium. Its description in RNAcentral is "bacterial SSU rRNA". It matches the Rfam family "Archaeal small subunit ribosomal RNA", at positions 345 to 866 of the family's 1478-position model. The record is from RNAcentral.